RNAcentral lists this ribosomal RNA (445 nucleotides) under uncultured bacterium. RNAcentral's name for it is "partial 16S ribosomal RNA". It matches the Rfam family "Bacterial small subunit ribosomal RNA", at positions 354 to 796 of the family's 1533-position model. The record is from RNAcentral.
GUGAGGAAUAUUGGUCAAUGGGCGAAAGCCUGAUCCAGCCAUGCCGCGUGAUAGAUGAAGGCCCUCUGGGUUGUAAAUAUCUUUUAUCUGGGAAGAAACUCCUCUAUUCUUAGAGGCCUGACGGUACCAGAGGAAUAAGCACCGGCUAACUCCGUGCCAGCAGCCGCGGUAAUACGGAGGGUGCAAGCGUUAUCCGGAUUCACUGGGUUUAAAGGGUGCGUAGGCGGGUUGAUAAGUCAGUGGUGAAAGCUCCGGGCUUAACUUGGAAACUGCCAUUGAUACUGUCAGUCUUGAAUGUCGUAGAGGUAAGCGGAAUGUUGCAUGUAGCGGUGAAAUGCUUAGAUAUGUUACAGAACACCAAUUGCGAAGGCAGCUUACUAUGCGAUAAUUGACGCUGAGGCACGAAAGCGUGGGGAGCAAACAGGAUUAGAAACCCGGGUAGUCC